RNAcentral lists this ribosomal RNA (461 nucleotides) under uncultured Streptococcus sp. RNAcentral describes it as "bacterial SSU rRNA". It matches the Rfam family "Bacterial small subunit ribosomal RNA", at positions 923 to 1382 of the family's 1533-position model. Lineage: Bacteria; Bacillati; Bacillota; Bacilli; Lactobacillales; Streptococcaceae. The record is from RNAcentral.
GCACAAGGCGGUGGAGCAUGGUGGUUUAAUUCGAAGCAAACGCGAACGAACCUUACCAGGUCUUGACAUCCGACGCUAUUUCUAGAGAUAGAAAGUUACUUCGGUACAUCGGUGACAGGUGGUGCAUGGUUGUCGUCAGCUCGUGUCGUGAGAUGUUGGGGUUAAAGUCCCGCAACGAGCGCAACCCCUAUUGUUAGUUGCCAUCAUUCAGUUGGGCACUCUAGCGAGACUGCCGGUAAUAAACCGGAGAAGUGGGGAUGACGUCAAAUCAUCAUGCCCCUUAUGACCUGGGCUACACACGUGCUACAAUGGUUGGUACAACGAGUUGCGAGUCGGUGACGGCGAGCUAAUCUCUUAAAGCCAAUCUCAGUUCGGAUUGUAGGCUGCAACUCGCCUACAUGAAGUCGGAAUCGCUAGUAAUCGCGGAUCAGCACGCCGCGGUGAAUACGUUCCCGGGCCUU